GGGAAUGUAGCUAAAGGGUAGAGUACUUGUCUGGCAUACAAGAGGUCCUGGGUUCAAACCCUAGUACUGCAG
This 72-nucleotide transfer RNA is filed under the name Fukomys damarensis (Damara mole-rat). It matches the Rfam family "tRNA". From Rfam's summary of the family: Transfer RNA (tRNA) molecules are approximately 80 nucleotides in length. Their secondary structure includes four short double-helical elements and three loops (D, anti-codon, and T loops). Lineage: Eukaryota; Metazoa; Chordata; Mammalia; Rodentia; Bathyergidae. The record is from Rfam by way of RNAcentral.